AACACCAACAUUUGACAGGGAGGUAAAGAUUUUAAAGAGAAUUCUAAUUGUUGAAGCAAUGACGUGCUGAUAAACAAUUAAUAAUGUCCAUAGUGCAAACGGAGAGAAUAAAACUAUAAUUUAUAUUCUCUCUUGAAGGUAUCCAUAAUAUAUAACCAACGAAUGGUUUUAUCAAUAGUUUACACAUGCUGAUCGAACUUCAGAAGUUGGAAGAAAGAGUAUGUCCACAGAAAUUGCCUGAUUACAUGCUACAUAUCUGAAUUCAAAGUAACCCAUGAUCAACUUGCGUUCCCAAUUCUAUCUCAACCAAAAUUCACCUUCCAAACACAAAAGUUCACGUCAAUUCAAACUCAUCAUACUAAAAAAACAGAGGAAAAAAAAUAACCAAUUUCACAUGAACAAAUCAAUCUGAGUUCCAACUUAGUUUUCCUGCAAUAAAACGACCAAAGUUAAGAAAA
RNAcentral lists this long non-coding RNA (458 nucleotides) under Malus domestica (apple). Its description in RNAcentral is "long non-coding RNA (MDOM_LNC017832)". The record is from RNAcentral. Lineage: Eukaryota; Viridiplantae; Streptophyta; Magnoliopsida; Rosales; Rosaceae.